AUUGAACGCUGGUGGCAUGCCUUACACAUGCAAGUCGAACGGUAACAGGUCUUCGGAUGCUGACGAGUGGCGAACGGGUGAGUAAUACAUCGGAACGUGCCUAGUAGUUGGGGAUAACUACUCGAAAGAGUGGCUAAUACCGCAUGAGAUCUACGGAUGAAAGCAGGGGAUCGCAAGACCUUGUGCUACUAGAGCGGGCGAUGGCAGAUUGGGUAGUUGGUGGGAUAAAAGCUUACCAAGCCGACGAACUGGAGCUGGUCGGAGAGGACGAUCAGCCACACUGGGACUGAGACACGGCCCAGACUCCUACGGGAGGCAGCAGUGGGGAAUUUUGGACAAUGGGCGAAAGCCUGAUCCAGCAAUGCCGCGUGCAGGAUGAAGGCCUUCGGGUUGUAAACUGCUUUUGUACGGAACGAAAAGCCCCGGGUUAAUACCCUGGGGUCAUGACGGUACCGUAAGAAUAAGCACCGGCUAACUACGUGCCAGCAGCCGCCGUAA
This 498-nucleotide ribosomal RNA is filed under the name uncultured bacterium. RNAcentral's name for it is "partial 16S ribosomal RNA". It matches the Rfam family "Bacterial small subunit ribosomal RNA", at positions 30 to 523 of the family's 1533-position model. The record is from RNAcentral.